This 253-nucleotide ribosomal RNA is filed under the name uncultured bacterium. Its description in RNAcentral is "partial 16S ribosomal RNA". It matches the Rfam family "Bacterial small subunit ribosomal RNA", at positions 524 to 776 of the family's 1533-position model. The record is from RNAcentral.
UACGGAGGGUGCAAGCGUUAAUCGGAAUUACUGGGCGUAAAGCGCACGUAGGUGGUUUGUUAAGUCAGCUGUGAAAUCCCCGGGCUCAACCUGGGCACUGCAGUUGGAACUGGCAAGCUAGAGUAGGGUAGAGGGGUGUGGAAUUCCAGGUGUAGCGGUGAAAUGCGUAGAUAUCUGGAGGAACAUCAGUGGCGAAGGCGACACCCUGGACUCAUACUGACACUGAGGUGCGAAAGCGUGGGGAGCAAACAGG